Molecule: ribosomal RNA, 253 nt
Filed under: uncultured bacterium
Lineage: Bacteria
Description: partial 16S ribosomal RNA
Rfam family: Bacterial small subunit ribosomal RNA
Source: RNAcentral
UACGAAGGGGGCUAGCGUUGUUCGGAAUCACUGGGCGUAAAGCGCAUGUAGGCGGAUGCUUAAGUCAGGGGUGAAAUCCCGAGGCUCAACCUCGGAACUGCCUUUGAUACUGGGGAUCUUGAGUCCGGGAGAGGUGAGUGGAAUUGCGAGUGUAGAGGUGAAAUUCGUAGAUAUUCGCAAGAACACCAGUGGCGAAGGCGGCUCACUGGCCCGGUACUGACGCUGAGGUGCGAAAGCGUGGGGAGCAAACAGG